UAAAGGAGAACAAUGAGGGAGAGAGGAAGACCAAUCGGGAGAAGAGAAAGAGAAAGUGAACCAAUGGGAAAGCAGAGAAAGGAGGGAGAUAGGGAAACAACAAAAUCGGACCCCGACUCGUUUGCCAUCACGACCCGGUUCCUGGCGCCAUUUUUUGGCGCAAUUUCAUGAGUUUUCCGACAAAUUAAGUUGAUCCACAACUGCCAAUCAUCAAAUAGUCACUUCCUCUCCACUUUCCACCCAAAUUUGAGGGUUUUUGACCUCAGUUUUACUAAUAAGAGCACCGGUGUGCUCGGGAGGGUUCCACGGCUGAGAUCCGCCGAUCGUGAAAGCCACGUCGACUACCACCACCAUUAAAUCACUCACCUUGAACCCCGGAACAAAGCCCAAACAAGUUUGGGGGCGUCGGGUUCAAUUUGAGGACGAAUUGAAGAGCACCCAAUUUAAGGGUUUCCGGCGGGUUCGAGUGAAAUUGGGGUUUUUUUCGGCCAAAUUAGCCUUAGUCACAGGCACGUUAGCGGGAAAUGAUUACAUGCUCGAUAGUUCGAGCGGCUUUUGGGCAAUGGAAAAACUAGAGUUAGGGUCAAGACACAUGAUCUCGUCGUCAGGGCACUUCGGCUUAGUUAUCCUCGAGUCUUCUCAGUGUAGGUGAAGGAAUGGAGCAGCCAUGGACCAUGUAGUGAAGUUGCUAAAGCUGGGAAGAGAGCCAUCAAAUUUCACCUGUAUUACUUUGUGAUGGGUUUCACCUUUCCCAUGCCACAUCUUUUUUAGGAGGUGAACUGCUCCAUGAAAUGUGCUCUUGCUCAAUGCUCUUCCAACGUGAUGCACAUGAUGGUGGUGUUUUUGAACUUGAGCAAAUUUUUGGUCUUGGGGCUAACGGUGCGACAAUGUGUGAUGCUUCAACAAGCCAACAAGGGUUUCAAUAUAUGCGUAAUUUAAAUCCCGUAUCCAUGCCUAUUUUAUCAUCGUUUUGUAAAAUUCUUUGUAUGCUCACAAAUUCUAACAAGGCUUAUUUUUUGGUAUAUCCAAUGGAAUUCGAACUUAAUCCCACUUUCUCUCUUGAAACAAAAAUAUCACCACUUUACAUGAUGUAACUCAAAUUUUGCUUCACUUUGGUCGGAUUUGUCUAUUCUGUCAAAAUAUGUUGAUGUGAAAGGGUAAUUUAGUAAUUUCACCCUAGAUGGUUUAUUUUUGUUGCCAUGUCACCAUAGAGAAUGGCACUCUAAGUGCCACCUAGGAUGAAAUUACUAAAUUACCCUUUCACGUUAGCAUAUUUGACGGAAUGGAUGGAAUACGAUCAAAGUGAAGGCAAAAAUUGAGUUUCAGAGUGUAAAAUGAGAUUAAGUACAAGUUGGGAGAGAGGGAUACCAAAAAAUAAGCCUUUUAACAAUAAUAUGCCCUCCUGGG
Long non-coding RNA from Pyrus x bretschneideri (Chinese white pear), 1407 nucleotides. RefSeq lists it as uncharacterized. The record is from RefSeq and is a predicted model, not a curated record. The transcript has 4 exons. NCBI's taxonomy places the organism in Eukaryota, Viridiplantae, Streptophyta, Magnoliopsida, Rosales, Rosaceae.